UGCAUUCUAAAGCUGGUACCCUCAAGUCUUCUUCCAAUAAACCAAAUGGGAUGCCAAUGGAUUCUAGAAAGCAGCAUGGUGUUAGCAAUGGUAUGGGGCCAGGCCGGCCUGGUGGUGUUAGCAAUGGUAUGGGGCCUGGCCGGCCUGGUGGUGCUAGCAAUGGUACCGGGCCUAGCCGACCUGGUGGUGUAAGCAAUGGUACUGGGCCUGGUCGGCCUGGUGGUGCUAACAGUGGUUCUGUUCCUGGCCGGGCUGGUGCUGCUAGCAAUGGUGCAGGGUCUGGCCGGCCUGUUGGCGCAAGC
Molecule: long non-coding RNA, 302 nt
Filed under: Gossypium barbadense (sea-island cotton)
Lineage: Eukaryota; Viridiplantae; Streptophyta; Magnoliopsida; Malvales; Malvaceae
Description: long non-coding RNA (GBAR_LNC001780)
Source: RNAcentral